This 496-nucleotide ribosomal RNA is filed under the name uncultured bacterium. Its description in RNAcentral is "partial 16S ribosomal RNA". It matches the Rfam family "Bacterial small subunit ribosomal RNA", at positions 29 to 507 of the family's 1533-position model. The record is from RNAcentral.
AUGCACGCUGGCGGCGUGCCUCAUACAUGCAAGUCGAGCGAACAGACGAGGAGCUUGCUCCUCUGACGUUAGCGGCGGACGGGUGAGUAACACGUGGAUAACCUACCUAUAAGACUGGGAUAACUUCGGGAAACCGGAGCUAAUACCGGAUAAUAUAUUGAACCGCAUGGUUCAAUAGUGAAAGACGGUUUUGCUGUCACUUAUAGAUGGAUCCGCGCCGCAUUAGCUAGUUGGUAAGGUAACGGCUUACCAAGGCAACGAUGCGUAGCCGACCUGAGAGAGUGAUCGGCCACACUGGAACUGAGACACGGUCCAGACUCCUACGGGAGGCAGCAGUAGGGAAUCUUCCGCAAUGGGCGAAAGCCUGACGGAGCAACGCCGCGUGAGUGAUGAAGGUCUUCGGAUCGUAAAACUCUGUUAUUAGGGAAGAACAAAUGUGUAAGUAACUAUGCACGUCUUGACGGUACCUAAUCAGAAAGCCACGGCUAACUACGUG